Molecule: long non-coding RNA, 149 nt
Organism: Alosa sapidissima (American shad)
Lineage: Eukaryota; Metazoa; Chordata; Actinopteri; Clupeiformes; Clupeidae
Exons: 3
Source: RefSeq, a predicted model, not a curated record
GGCUAUAUUUUGAGGGUUGAUUUUAAGGGGAAAAUAGCACUUCCCCUUGCUCCCUGCAGUAAUGAGACACCCUAGCCCUACACGUGCACCCGCAAAAACGAGGGUUAGGGCAAAAAUCUAGGGGUAGGGGAGACUGCAAACAUUACCUA